CUUUGAUGGGGUAUAAAACACUGAAGUCCAGCCUUUGCAGUGUAAGGUAAAACUGGUGAAGUAGUCUUCUACCACAGAAUUGUACAUGAAGCCCACCUGAGAUCAUGCCAACAUAACUCAAAUAAAAAUAAAUAAAUAAAAAGGAGAAGAAGAAGAAGAAGAAAGAAAUGGAGUCAUCUAUAGCAAAUAACAAGUAUUAAUUUUAAUGUUUCUUUUAAUUAUACUUGCCUCUUGACCCCAUUUUGUGCCAUUUUCAUAGCCACAAGAAGUUAACACUUGGGUUUCUUUCAUCAAUGCUGCAGAGUCGCCAGCAAUGGUGUUCUUGCUUGGCUUCUCCUUUUGCCCAAGGUAUUUGAUGAAUUCAUUCGAAUGGCCAAAGAGUUUCUUUAAAUCCAUGAGAUCAUAACCUGUUAGAUCGACAGGAAACGAGCUAAUUAAUUCAUUACUGCAUUUACUUUUUCUACCCUACUUUCUUGAAAACAAAAAAGUCAUAAGGAUCGAUCUACUUGCCUUCUUGCACGGGUUUACGAUACAAGGACUCUCUCUUGAUGUAAAAGCAAGUCCCAGAUAAAACAGGUCCCUUCAAUCCAUCCAUUCCAUACCAACAUGUCUGAAACAGAGCAAAAAUCAUUAGCUAACAAAAGAAAAGUUGCACUCUAAAAAACUUCAUAUGAUUCUUUUUGUUUACCCAAAAGUACGGUCUGAGCUUGCUAUCGUAGAUGUCGUUCUCACUAAUAUUAUGAAACAUUUGAGGAAAUUGAACCAGCAUUAACGAUGGAGAUAAUCUCGGAUCCAAAUGAAAACACAUCGCCUGCCGAGCCGAAGAAGGGUCGUUGCAGUACAUGUCGCAAUCCAACACUAAAAUGUAAGGCGAGUUGCUCAUCACUCCUGAUACCCGGAGCUGCACGGACGAGCAACGGCGAAUUAUUAUCGGCUGUACAUAGAUAGAAGAAUAUAGAUAUGUUUGUUUCCGAUUUGAAAAUUAAAAUGGCGUACAAGAACGUUGAGAGCUCCAGCUUUGAAGUGAUGGUGAUGAGAAGGUCUCUUUUCUCUUGAGACGUAUAUAAGCUUAGGCAUGGGGUCUUGGUGUGCUUGCAUAACUUCAUCAGGGACAUUCCCUCGGACCACCUGUCGCAUCCGUUUAUUUUUGUCAUACACAUUGAGAGGUAUGUUACUCUUAGCUCACUUAAUUAAAUCUGUAGAAAUUACAAAUUCCCAUUUUAAAUUUAGAAUAACCUCGAUGGUAGGCGGAUGGUCUCGGCCAGUGUGGCUCGAGUCACCUCGGUGCCUCUUUCGGUACUCAUUUACUCGUUCUUUGAACAACUCAUAUUUCUCCUGAAAGAAGAAAAAUAGUUAGAUCUAAUAUUUAACCAGUGUGCAGGGCACAAUUCUUAGUUUUUCAUGCCCAUCCCUUCCAUUGCAUUCCUCCAUCGCAAACUAUAGUAAGCUGUAAUCUAAAUCUGUAAAACAAACUAUGAUUGAUGCGGGUGCUGCUAAUCUUUAAAAUAUAGAAGGCAUCACACUUUGAGAGUUCAAAUCGUCGGGAGUAAAUAGUCGCGCCGAUCACGUUGCACCAUUCUUCGACAUGAAUUGAAUAAGCAAUCACUUCUCUCAAAACUUUAAGUUUUUUUUAACAUGAAGACUUAUAUCAGGACGAUGGCACGUAAGUGAGACAACUCAAUGCAUAGUAAAAUGAUCUCUUUAAGCCAUCAAACGACGGGGCGUGUUUAAUAUUUAAAUAUAGCAGGACAUUAUCUUAUAGACAAAAUGGAAGUGCAGGCGUAUGGACAAAAGGAUAAGAUCAUCGAAAGGUAAAGCGUACCUUGACUAUCUUCUUCUCAGAGCCAAACUCAUUCUCAGAACUCAUGCCAAUCCCCUCACCAUCCUCUUCCUCCUUAAAAAAUGCCUUCGGACACCUCGUCUUUAUCCCAUACCUCUUGCAGAAGGGCAGCCACCAUCUUGCGAAAUCGUAGGCCUCCCUCGUCCCAUGCAAGGUCAGUGUCGAGCCGCCGUCGUCCGAGAGGUACACAUGGAGCUUCUCCGGGGGAUAGUCAAGCGCCAUUGCCGACACCACCGUGUUCAUCACGUCAUCAGUUGGCUCCUUAUCUGGGUCCGCCGUGCACACAAACACAUCGAUGGGUGGAAGUUCCUUGUCCUCCGGCAGCCGCUCAGGGUAGGCAGUCCGUCUCACGGGCUGCCACCGGAAGGCUUGGCUGAGCAGCCACAGGAAAGAUAGCCCUAGCUCGGCAAGGAACAUGGUGAGACAUGCCAAAGUUGUGGCUCUGUCUCUCGAUUUACUUUCACUGAGGAAAAACGAAGCUCUAUAGUAUAUGAGAGCGGAUAGAGCUGUGGCGUGAACGAGCAUGUGGGUGCGGUUGAUGAUUAUUGAUUUUGUGAGGACAUGACAGAGAUUGAGAGGGCCUGAGCUAUGCUCCAUAUGACAGGAUCGGUUCUUGCUAUUCUCCUAUUCUUCUGAUAUGAAUAGGAAGUUCUCCAAGAUUUUAGCACAUAGGGUUAUAAGUACCCCCAUAUUUAUAUAUCAACCUAUGAGUAUUUAUAUUGAAUGAAUUAGUCUAUAUUAGUAGGUUUGACAAAGUUAGGUGGGGAGAAUUACCAAAAAAAGUUAUAAAUCUAUUGUAAUUUUUCAAAUUCAAUCAUAACUUCUUCUUUUUUGCUAGUUUUAAUCCUAAACAUUUUGCAAUUAUGUCAUUUCAAUCUCUCAAGUAAAUUUUGACCAGUUGGUGUAGACAUGGACGUUGGCUGGCACAGACGUGAAUGCCUAAUGACGCUAACAUGCACAAUUUUUAGUAAUAUUUUAUUUUAUUUACUUUUUUUUUCCUUUUUCUCUUUCACUUUCUCUUCUUCCUUCUUUUUCCCUUUUUGGCAAGGGCCACAAAGCCCUUGCUAGCUGCCAACAAUGUCUACAUUAUAUCAAGAGUAUGAGUUUAAGGGUCUGUUUGGCAACUUACCAAAUAGUGAAAAUUUCUAUUAUUUUGUUUCUGGGAAUAGAUUUGGAAUAAAAAUACAUUUGGUAAAUUUUUUGUUUUUGGGAAUAGAUUUGGAAUAGAAUCGAAAAGUAAAAAAAAAGUUGAGUCUUUGUUCCUGGAGACAAUUCCAAAAUCAAGCCAACUUAUUUUUUCUAUUUUCUCUUCUUUCUUCUUGUUCUUCUUCCCUCUCUCUUCUUCUUCAACUGUUGUCGCUGCUGCCACCGCCAUCACCGUCGCCGCUCAUAGCCACUAGUCAUCGACAACCAGUCUGACGAGAUUUGGCGAGCUUGCCCAAUCACUAGUGAGGCCGAGUGUUGCCGGUGGCUAGGUGUGCCUCACCCAAGCCUCCCUCAACCAUUGGCAAGGCUCACCUAGCCCCGACAAGGCUCAGCCGACGAGGCACAGCCUUGCCGAGGGCCAGUGACGCUCCGAUGGGGUCGCUAGCCCUUGUCUGGCUGAUCACCGGUCAUCCCAAAGCUGAUGACCAGCAACCUUGAAAAGGAAGAAGAGGAGAAAGAAAGGAAAAAAAAGAAAAUAUUAAAAAAGAAAUAAAGGAAAAAAUAUUAUAAUUAUUUAAAAAUUAAAAUAAAAUUAUUUGAAGUAAAAUUUUAAAGUAUGGUGCCAAAUGCAAUUCUAUUCCCAAAACUAAAAUUUUAAACAAUUACCAAAUGGUUUAAAAUGUUUAAAAAUUAUUCCCGAAAUCAAAAUAAAUAAAAAAUCAUUUAUGAUAGAAAUNNNNNNNNNNNNNNNNNNNNNNNNNNNNNNNNNNNNNNNNNNNNNNNNNNNNNNNNNNNNNNNNNNNNNNNNNNNNNNNNNNNNNNNNNNNNNNNNNNNNAUUUGCAUUUCAUUUUAUAAUUUAUUUCUUACUCGAAUUGCAUCGUUUGUUUGCACUUCCACAUUAGUCCUAAGAGAUAACAAACUAAACUAUUUGCCUCCUCAAACUCCCUUAGUCAUAUAGUCAAAAGUAAUCCAUGCCAUUUAGAACGAUUAAGCAUGGAAUGCUUUGCCACUUUGCUGUCAACUAGCACAUUCCACUUUGAGCUUCGGCAGGCCUACGCAAAGCAAAGACAUCCCGUUGACUCCUCCGACGCAACAUUGCAAAGUUCACAUGUUGCAUCAACAAUCAACACGAGGACUCCGCUGUGCUAUUCUAUCUUUUGAGCUACAAGCCCAGCAAUCGUAAAUCAAUUCGUUGAACAACUCAUCUUGUCGCAAUUGUCACAUAAGUCAAUAUAAAGCUUACACAAUUUUAGUACUCCAUAAUCCAGCGUCACUUCUGAAUAUUUUCUACAGAACGUACAACAAUUGUGAUAAUUGAGGACUUGGUUUGCAAUGACUCAUAACUUCAUAAGCAUAACGUUCAUUAUUACAUGAGAAAACUUGAACCUAGCAACAACAAUACCAAGGAAAGAAAAGCUGACAGUAUGGUGACUGAUCGUGGAAUGCGUCCUUUGUCCGUCCUCAAUACCAUUGCUUCAAUCACGGGGUAGCUCAUCACUAAGACGAAAAAUGAUAGUGCAAUCUGCAUGAACAGUUUGUCGAAGCCUCCCAAAGUAAGAACUCUAGCGACUCCUCCAAUGAAGGAAGCCAUGUUCAAUAUCACUAGAGUCACCAUCGGAGCCAGAAACAUUAUUGACGUUUGAAAAUCAAAUAUCCCCAUCUCAUAUCUCUUCGAUUGCUCAUCAUCGUCGACCUUAUUUGUAGGCAAGAAGCUAGCUCUUCUCAUGCCGAUUUGUGUCAUAAUCGCGUCUAUGGUUCCGUAUACAUAACACGUCGUUGACUUGAUCAUCCAGAUUCGUUGUUCAUUCAAGAAUGUUUGGACUGAAUGGCCACUUGCGACGACUUCAUAGAGAUGCUUACAAAGGGAUGAUAGGAAGAUGAAGGCAAAUAGCAUGAUAUAUGAACUUGAAACCUGACAAUGAAGAAAUCAUUGAUUAACUCUUUCAAACAAAUAAAUUGAGAAACAAAAUUGAAGCAUAUUUUAUUUUAUUUUUUUGGUAAAGAAAUUGAAGCAUAUUUUAUACGCUGAAGGCAAUGAGAAUUUUAUGUUCUAGAGCUAGGAGUCAACUUACCUCAGGGUAUAUAGAGAUGCCAUUUACUAGACAGGUCUGAGGAAUGGUUGCAAAGCAGCAAAUUGGCAAGCAGUAUAAGGGUAAAAGUGAAACUUCAGCAUAGCACAUGCUCUGAAGAUUGGGCAUCCUCAACGAGCCAUAGAUCAGAGGACAAAAUCUCGAGAUACCAACUCGUGACAGCCCAGAAUACCAUCUCAUGCCUUGAAUCAACAUGUCAUUCAAAUUCGUUGUCGCGGUCCCUAAGAAUUGCGGCUUUGAUGGGGUAUAAAACACUGAAGUCCAGCCUUUGCAGUGUAAGGUAAAACUGGUGAAGUAGUCUUCUACCACAGAAUUGUACAUGAAGCCCACCUGAGAUCAUGCCAACAUAACUCAAAUAAAAAUAAAUAAAUAAAAAGGAGAAGAAGAAGAAGAAAGAAAUGGAGUCAUCUAUAGCAAAUAACAAGUAUUAAUUUUAAUGUUUCUUUUAAUUAUACUUGCC
Molecule: long non-coding RNA, 5537 nt
Filed under: Eucalyptus grandis
Lineage: Eukaryota; Viridiplantae; Streptophyta; Magnoliopsida; Myrtales; Myrtaceae
Description: long non-coding RNA (EGRA_LNC004511)
Source: RNAcentral